UCUUCUAGUCUACCACAAAUUU
This 22-nucleotide small nuclear RNA is filed under the name Arabidopsis thaliana (thale cress). RNAcentral's name for it is "snRNA_07222". The record is from RNAcentral. Lineage: Eukaryota; Viridiplantae; Streptophyta; Magnoliopsida; Brassicales; Brassicaceae.